RNAcentral lists this ribosomal RNA (468 nucleotides) under uncultured bacterium. RNAcentral's name for it is "partial 16S ribosomal RNA". It matches the Rfam family "Bacterial small subunit ribosomal RNA", at positions 28 to 507 of the family's 1533-position model. The record is from RNAcentral.
GACGAACGCUGGCGGCGUGCUUAACACAUGCAAGUCGAACGGAAAGGCCCUGCUUUUGUGGGGUGCUCGAGUGGCGAACGGGUGAGUUACACGUGAGUAACCUGCCCUUGACUUUGUGAUAACUUCAGGAAACUGGGGCUACUACCGGCUAGGAGCUCCUGCUGCAUGGUGGGGGUUGGAAAGUUUCGGCGGUUGUGGAUGGACUCGCGGCUUAUCAGCUUGUUGGUUGGGUAGUGGCUUACCAAGGGUUUGACGGGUAGCCGGCCUGGGAGGGGGAACGGCCACAUUGGGACUGAGGGACGGCGCAGACUGCAACGGGAGACAGCAGUGGGGAGCAUUGCACAGUGGGCGCAAGCGUGAGGCGGAAACGCCGCGUGCGGAAUGAAGGCUUUGGGGUUGUAAACCGCUUUCGCCUGUGACGAAGCGUGAGUGACGGUAAUGGGUAAAGAAGCACCGGCUAACUACGUG